Molecule: long non-coding RNA, 1520 nt
Filed under: Ovis aries (sheep)
Lineage: Eukaryota; Metazoa; Chordata; Mammalia; Artiodactyla; Bovidae
Description: lncRNA (ENSOARG00000025447.1)
Source: RNAcentral
AUGUUAAGGGUGGCAGAGGGGAAGACUUCAGCUGAUCACUAUUCAGGUACAUCUGGAUCCAGGAAUAAGAAACCGUAUGGUGUCCAACUCCUUCAAAAUGAAUUUGUUUCUUCGUGUUUUCCUGUUCUGCCUUCGGUGGUGUCAGCUUUAUUCUCAGAAAUCAUGCUGGUUCCCCAACCUGCAUACCCAUGGUGCAAAUUUCACAUCGUCACACUACCCAACCGGAGACCAAUGGAGAACCUAUUUCUGGUAACUACUUCAUAAAUUAUAAAUUAAUUUCUUGGCUUAAGGAAAUUAAAUACUGAUUUUGUUAUUGUUCAGUCACUUAGUCAUGUCUGACUCUGAGAGCCCAUGGGUUGCCGCAUGCCAAGUUUACUGUCCUUCAUUUUCUCCCAGAGUUUACUAAAACCCAUGUCCGUUGAGUUGGUGAUGCCAUCCAACCAUCUCAUCCUCUGUUGCCCCCUUCUCUUCCUGUCCUCAGUCUUUCCCAGCAUCACGAUCUUUCCCAACGAGUGCUGAUUGGCUUAGGCUAAUUUUAGGGCCCACUUCUGGAGCCAGACUGGGGUCAGUCUUACCUAAGUAGUAUGACUAAGAAUGGGGAGGGCUGACUUCUCCAAAGAAAAAUGAGACUAUUCUUUGAGAGACAUGAAGGAAAAGAUGAACAAAUGUCUACUCUUUCCAUCUGCAUGAGCCCAUCUCAAAUUGAACACAGGCUGGAAAGAAAGGGAAGAGUUCUACAUGCUGGGUGUGGCAAAACAGAGAAGGAAGAAAUAGCACCAAAAGUCCACCUUUUAAAUACCCAUUCCUAAAAUAAAUAAAUACCCAUUCCUUAGUUCUAAGCAGGAGGGUUUCUUGGUUUGAGUUAUUAAAUUUUGGGGUGGAUAUGGCUGAUAUCACAUUGAUAUUAGUGACCUUUCCUGUUUAGUCUCCAUUAAAAAUCAGAUUCCCAAGAAUAUCAAAGAGUUCACGCAUAUCUGCAUGCAGAAUAAGAAGGAUAUGUACCUUAGCAGUCCAACCUUAUGACCAGAGCUCGAUAUUCUCACAGCAUCUCCUCUCCCUGCUCCUGUCUCCCCAGACACUGUUAUAUUAAAAUAAGAGGUGCUUUUUUCAUGUUUUUUUUUUUUUAUCUUGAUCUACAUACUCAUUAUGAUUACUCAUUCAGUUAUCUCAUUUAGGGGGACUUGCCUGGUGGUCCAGUGGCUAAGACUUCACCUUCCAGUGCAGGGAGUGUGGGUUUGAUCACUGGUCAGGGGGCUAAGAUCACACAUGCCUUGUGACCAAAAAAAAAAGAGAAAGUCCCCAAACCCCCCAUUAUUGGAAGUACUAUUGUAACAAAUUCAAUAGACUUUUAAAAAGGGUCCAUAUUUUUAAAAAAACACUUUAAAAAUGAUCUUACUUAGUAGCAUAGGCAGUAAAACUCUAGCAGUCUAACAGGCACAGUUACUGCUACUGUGGUCUUAUCAUAGUUCCCAUAGUUCAUCAGUGAACUUCACACAUAUUCUUCUCGCUUUAUCAUCUAG